UCCAUGGGGCAGUGCUCACAUCUGUGCCCUUGCUCCCACAUUCCAAGACCCAGCUGCUUACCUCCCAGUCAUCCCUGCCUGACAGGAGGAGGCAGUUCAGUUGAGACUUCAGAUAAACCUACAAAACCAAGAGGGGCCAUAAGGAGCUAGGGACACUGAAACGGAAACGUGGCUUGGGGCACACAAGGCAGCCAGCUCUCACCUUAUGCUCUAGACCCCGUGGAUUCCGGAUCCUGUGCACCCUCAAGACUCUGUCCAAGCCACAGGAGGCUAGUAGGGGCUUUGAAGGGUGGCACUGUAAUCCUCGGACACUGCCUGCCAGCCCCUUCAGACAGCCCAGUAGGCGUCCUGGAGGAGAGGGGGAGGCAUCAGCACUAGCCGGCCAGCCAACAACCAUUGUUUACCGUUUCAGGUCGCUUUAUGUUUCAAUAUUUAUACCUCAACAUAA
RNAcentral lists this long non-coding RNA (448 nucleotides) under Lynx pardinus (Iberian lynx). The record is from RNAcentral. Lineage: Eukaryota; Metazoa; Chordata; Mammalia; Carnivora; Felidae.